GUACUUUGAAAAGAGAGUCAAAGAGAACGCGAAACCGUUAGGAGGGAAGCGAAUGCAGCCAGUACGAGUCCCGUCAGGUUCAGGAGCAGCGGAAGCGUCGCCCUGGGGUUCCGCCUAGAUGGCGCCCGAGGGUAGUCGCGCGGCCGCGCAUCUGCACUCCUGCGGGGCUCUUGCCAACGGCAGUGGUCGGUGCUCACGAGCAGUCGGGGAGGUGACCUUCCCCUCCUCGGAGGAGGGAGGAGCUUAGAACCCCUCUGCGACGGGCAUCGGCGACUGAGGAGACGAUCACUUCCGAUCUGAAGGACGCAGGCCCCAUGGGGCUGGCCCCCCUCUCGGACGUCCGGUCUCGCGACCCAGGACUGCAUGCAGUGCUGGGACGCGUGCGCCUUCGACCGGGGGGGAAGGGUGCAACUGCGUCGGGCGGUUGGCAAAACGUGGCUCCAUCCGUCCCGUCUUGAAACACGGACCAAGGAGUGCAACACGCCCGCGAGUCUUUGGGUGGCAAACCCGCCGGCGAAAUGAAAGUGAAGGCGCCCUCGGGGUGCCGAGGCGAGAGCCGCGAGAAAGGCGGUGCAUCGUCGACCGAUCCUAUCCACGCCGUGGGGGGAUUCGAGUUAGAGCGUGCCUGUUGCGACCCGAAAGAUGGUGAACUAUGCCUGAAUAGGGUGAAGCCAGAGGAAACUCUGGUGGAAGCUCGUAGCGAUUCUGACGUGCAAAUCGAUCGUCAAAUUUGGGUAUAGGGGCGAAAGACUAAUCGAACCAUCUAGUAGCUGGUUCCCUCCGAAGUUUCCCUCAGGAUAGCUGGAACCCGGAGCAGUUUUAUCAGGUAAAGCGAAUGAUUAGAGGUCUUGGGGUUGAAACAACCUCAACCUAUUCUCAAACUUUAAAUGGGUAAGAAGCCUGGCUUGCUCGAUUGAAGUCAGGCAUGGAAUGCCGGGGUUCCUAGUGGGCCAUUUUUGGUAAGCAGAACUGGCGAUGCGGGAUGAACCGAACGCCGGGUUAAGGUGCCCGAAUCGGCGCUCAUCAGACACCAUGAAAGGUGUUGGUUGAUCUAGACAGCAGGACGGUGGCCAUGGAAGUCGGAAUCCGCUAAGGAGUGUGUAACAACUCACCUGCCGAAUCAACUAGCCCUGAAAAUGGAUGGCGCUCAAGCGCCGUACCCAUACCCGGCCGUCGGGGCGAGAGGCCUGUCCCGACGAGUAGGAGGGCGCGGUGGUGGCCGUGCAUCCCGAGGCGCGAGCCUGGGCGAAGCCGCCUCCGGUGCAGAUCUUGGUGGUAGUAGCAAAUAUUCAAACGAGAGCUUUGAAGACUGAAGUGGAGAAAGGUUCCAUGUGAACAGCAGUUGGACAUGGGUUAGUCGAUCCUAAGAGAUGGGGAAGCUCCCUAGCAAGGGUGCACUCACUUCUGUGACCGCACCGUCCAUCGAAAGGGAAUCGGGUUAACAUUCCCGAACCGGGACGAGGAUAAGGCCUCGCGCCUACGGCGGCAACGCAAGCGAACUCGGAGACGCCGGCGGGAGCUCCGGGAAGGGUUCUCUUUCCUUCUUAACGGACCGUCACCCUGGAAUCAGAUUGGCUGGAGAUAGGGUCGAAUGUCCGGUAAAGCGCCGCACCUCUGGCGGUGUCCGGUGCGCUCUCGACGGCCCCUGAAA
RNAcentral lists this ribosomal RNA (1651 nucleotides) under Scopalina ruetzleri. RNAcentral describes it as "eukaryotic LSU rRNA". It matches the Rfam family "Eukaryotic large subunit ribosomal RNA", at positions 371 to 1810 of the family's 3401-position model. Lineage: Eukaryota; Metazoa; Porifera; Demospongiae; Bubarida; Dictyonellidae. The record is from RNAcentral.